AGAGUUUGAUCAUGGCUCAGGGUGAACGCUAGCUACAGGCUUAACACAUGCAAGUCGAGGGGAAACGACAUCGAAAGCUUGCUUUUGAUGGGCGUCGACCGGCGCACGGGUGAGUAACGCGUAUCCAACCUGCCCACCACUUGGGGAUAACCUUGCGAAAGUAAGACUAAUACCCAAUGACGUCUCUAGAAGACAUCUGAAAGGGAUUAAAGAUUUAUCGGUGAUGGAUGGGGAUGCGUCUGAUUAGCUUGUUGGCGGGGUAACGGCCCACCAAGGCUACGAUCAGUAGGGGUUCUGAGAGGAAGGUCCCCCACAUUGGAACUGAGACGNGGUCCAAACUCCUACGGGAGGCA
RNAcentral lists this ribosomal RNA (353 nucleotides) under uncultured bacterium. Its description in RNAcentral is "bacterial SSU rRNA". It matches the Rfam family "Bacterial small subunit ribosomal RNA", at positions 8 to 350 of the family's 1533-position model. The record is from RNAcentral.